UACGAAGGGGGCAAGCGUUGCUCGGAAUGACUGGGCGUAAAGGGCGCGUAGGCGGCUUACAUAGUUAGGCGUGAAAUUCCUGGGCUCAACCUGGGGACUGCGUCUAAUACAUGUAGGCUUGAGUGUGAAAGAGGGUCGUGGAAUUUCCAGUGUAGAGGUGAAAUUCGUAGAUAUUGGAAAGAACACUGGUGGCGAAGGCGGCGACCUGGUUCAUUACUGACGCUGAGGAGCGAAAGCGUGGGGAGCAAACAGG
This 253-nucleotide ribosomal RNA is filed under the name uncultured bacterium. Its description in RNAcentral is "partial 16S ribosomal RNA". It matches the Rfam family "Bacterial small subunit ribosomal RNA", at positions 524 to 776 of the family's 1533-position model. The record is from RNAcentral.